GACGAACGCUGGCGGCGUGCUUAACACAUGCAAGUCGAACGGGAAUGCCUUUCUUUUGUGGGGUGCUCGAGUGGCUAACGGGUGAGUAAGACGUGUUUAAUUUGCCCUUGACUUUGGGAUCAUUUCCUGAUACUGGGUCUAAUAGCGGAUAGGAGGUUCUGCUUCCUGGUGGGUGUUGGCAAGUUUCGUUGGUUGGUUAUUGAAUCUCUGCUUAUCAGCUUGUUGGUUGGGUAGUUGCUUACCAAGGCUGUGAGGGGAAGCUGGGCUGGGGGGGUGACCGGACACAUUGGGCCUGAGAUAAGGCCCAGACUAGUACGGGAGGCAGCGGUGCGGAAGAUUGCAUAAUGGGCGGAAGCCUACUGCAGUCAAGCCGCGUGCGGGAUGACGGCCUUGGGGUUGUAAAGUGCUUUCGUCUGUGACGAAGCGUGAGUGACGGUAAUGGGUAAAGAAGCACCGGCUAACUACGUG
RNAcentral lists this ribosomal RNA (468 nucleotides) under uncultured bacterium. RNAcentral's name for it is "partial 16S ribosomal RNA". It matches the Rfam family "Bacterial small subunit ribosomal RNA", at positions 28 to 507 of the family's 1533-position model. The record is from RNAcentral.